UACGUAGGGUGCAAGCGUUAAUCGGAAUUACUGGGCGUAAAGCGUGCGCAGGCGGUUAUGUAAGACAGUUGUGAAAUCCCCGGGCUCAACCUGGGAACUGCAUCUGUGACUGCAUAGCUAGAGUACGGUAGAGGGGGAUGGAAUUCCGCGUGUAGCAGUGAAAUGCGUAGAUAUGCGGAGGAACACCGAUGGCGAAGGCAAUCCCCUGGACCUGUACUGACGCUCAUGCACGAA
This 234-nucleotide ribosomal RNA is filed under the name uncultured bacterium. RNAcentral's name for it is "partial 16S ribosomal RNA". It matches the Rfam family "Bacterial small subunit ribosomal RNA", at positions 524 to 757 of the family's 1533-position model. The record is from RNAcentral.